Felis catus (domestic cat) is the source of this 84-nucleotide transfer RNA. It matches the Rfam family "tRNA". Rfam says of the family: Transfer RNA (tRNA) molecules are approximately 80 nucleotides in length. Their secondary structure includes four short double-helical elements and three loops (D, anti-codon, and T loops). The record is from Rfam. NCBI's taxonomy places the organism in Eukaryota, Metazoa, Chordata, Mammalia, Carnivora, Felidae.
GCCUGGGUGGCUCAGUAGUUAAGUGCCUGACUUCAGCUCAGGUCAUGAACUCACAGUUCGUGGGUUCGAGCCCCGCAUCGGGCU